Molecule: long non-coding RNA, 1622 nt
Organism: Salmo trutta (river trout)
Lineage: Eukaryota; Metazoa; Chordata; Actinopteri; Salmoniformes; Salmonidae
Source: Ensembl
AUGGGACACACACACAGGAUGAUGGCCACUCACAGCCUGCAGACCACACCCACUAUCCAGAUCUCCUUCAACCCCCGCCAAUCAAGCGUCUCUACCCCAUCCCUCUCGUCCAAUCAUGAGGAAGGGGAGCCAGGCGCCAUCAAGGGAUUUGGUGGAACAGAUUCUGUGAAGUGUACACUGCUGAAUGGCCAUUUGAAGUGUUCUCGAUCUCUCAGCCAUAUCAGUGAGAGAGCCAUAGACUGUGCUUCGACUAACAGGUUGUCUGACCAAUCAGUUGAGUCCUCUGAAACGCCAAAGCCCCUACCCCGCUUAGACCUUGAAGUCUCCUGUGUGGCUUCUCACUGCUCUAACCAGGACAUGCAUGAAGCCUUGGACUUGCCUGAAUCUGGGGGCCCAGAGUCAUGUGUUUCAACCCCAGUGGAUCAGGGUGAUGCUCCUCUGGCCUCAACACUACAGGCUGAGAAGCCUAGAGCUGGAGUAGAGCCUCUUCCCACAGACCGUGUACUGGGAGAGGGACUGAGGGAGGAAAAGUCCUCCACGGAACACAAUCACAGACUCCAAUCUACCCAGCCACAAGAGCUAACACUACCAGAAGAGACAGUGACUGGUCGAUCUCACAGUCGGUCCUCCAGCUUCACUCAGGAAGUUGAGACUGCCCUGGAGAGCUUUGAUUUUCUCAACUGCUCUGACCUUGAUGAUGAAGAAGAGGAGGAAGAAGAUGAACAGGAGAGGGAUGAGAAGGAGAAGGAACAAGAGAAGGAAGACAAGACAAGGGACUCUGCUCAUAGCAGUGAUGCGUGUGAGGACGAUGUUAUAGAAAUCAUUGUCGAGGCCCCUGAAGGCUUCCGGAAUGAGGACUGUCCUCCUCUAGAUGCAGACUGCAGCUCUGAGGAGGAGGAGAGUAGCGAGCAGCUGCAGGCCUCCAGUGAGACAAAGGACAAGCAGGAGGAAGAGAAGGAGAAGAAAGUGGAAGACAAGAAGAAGGAGGAGGAGGAGGAGCAGGUUACAGAGACGGACAUCCCUGCCAGGCAGGAGCAUGGUGAUGAGGCAUCCUGUGUUGAGGAACCCUGCUCCACCCCCAGCAGUAUGGCCACCACUGUCCUUUAACAUAAUGGAGAUGCCACUUCUUCAGACCAUUAUCAGAUGCCAUCCUAAUCCCACCACUCUAAGAGAUCCUUACCAUUUCACCACUAACAGAUGAAAGAGCCUCUUCUAGAUCAGACAAGCGAUUUCUGCCAUGGAGGUGGAGAUUGCGCAAAUGAACAGAAAUAUAUUUGCUUCCCUCUCUCCACUCGUGAUUGAAAACAUUAAUGACUAUUGUUGUCCACUCAUCCAAAGGCCACAUGUAAACACACAGUCACCUUACAGUGAAGAUAGACAUCUUUAGUCUAAUGGAGCCUCUUCAAUAAGAAAGUGCCUCAAGUUACAGAAAGGGGGAUUGUCAGUUAACGAAUACAUGAAGAAAAUGAACUUUUAUUACUAACCAGAGAAGAAUAUGAAUGAGUAUACAGAGUUUGAUACAUUGUUUAUUUUCAGGAUGACUUACAGAUUGUGCACUAUAAAAGAUACAAUUAUUUACUGUUUCAUAUAAAUAAAUAAUGUUGAGCAAAUAUGUUGCCUGC